Molecule: ribosomal RNA, 546 nt
Filed under: Triticum aestivum (bread wheat)
Lineage: Eukaryota; Viridiplantae; Streptophyta; Magnoliopsida; Poales; Poaceae
Description: partial small subunit ribosomal RNA
Source: RNAcentral
CCCUCCUACACCAACAACAAGGGUCGUCACAACAACUCCAGGAGCCGCCCCGACGCUGUCAAGUGUCAAAUAUGCGGCAAGACCGGUCACUCAGCAAGGGAUUGCUGGUACCGGUUUGAGGAGGAUGAAGGAGAAUCCUCGCAAGAUGAGAAGGUCGCUGGUGCUGCAGAAGCCUCAUACGGGGUUGAUACAAACUUGUAUGUUGAUAGUGGCGCUACAAAUCACAUCACUUGUGAACUUGAAAAGGUGACUAUGCAGGAGAAGUACGGCGGCCAAGACCAGAUACAUACAGCAAGUGGAUCAGGUAUGAGGAUUAAACAUGUUGGUCAUUCAGUUUUCCAAACCCCUCACCGAAAGAUUCAUCUAAGAAAAAUUCUUCAUGUCCCUAGUGCAUCUAAAAAUCUACUCUCCGUUCAUCGCAUUUCCAUUGACAAUCAUAUCUUUCUCGAGUUUCACCCCUUUUUCUUUUUGAUCAAGGAUCAGGCAACGAGGAAGGUGCUCUACCGAGGUAGAUGUGUUCGCAGGCUUUACCCAUUGAUUCCGGAG